This 8778-nucleotide long non-coding RNA is filed under the name Lathyrus oleraceus (garden pea). RNAcentral's name for it is "Pisum sativum (pea) long non-coding RNA (PSAT_LNC040772)". The stretch from base 6067 to 6262 matches the Rfam family "U2 spliceosomal RNA". The record is from RNAcentral. Lineage: Eukaryota; Viridiplantae; Streptophyta; Magnoliopsida; Fabales; Fabaceae.
AAAGGGAAAACAAUUCUAUUGAUUGAAUGAUUGAAUUUUCACAUUAUGAUGCAGUAGCAUCUAUAUAUAGGCACAGUUGGCAGUUACAACAGCUGGCAAGCUUAACCUCGCCCACCAACAAAAAGAGAUGGUUCAAGGGGCUAGGCUCACCAGGUGUUGUGGGCUGGAGGUGCAGCGGCCCGUGAUCCCUCCACUGUCAAGAGUAGGAAGUGUUCGCUGCUCUGUGAAACCAGCCUCACGCUAUACCCUCCUGUCUAAGACACACAAGACUUGUGCCUUCGCACAAGUCCCAUGGGUCAACUCACAACUUGGAGCGGGCAGGCCAACAUGGUGCAACUACCAACCCAACCUGUUAAGCCUUAGCCAUGUUCCAUCACCUUGAUGCCCCCACAUGGGUCACAAGCUGGCGCAACUCAGCUCGGCGAACUAACUAGCAUGUCAGACAUUUAUAAGCACUUGCUUGUGUGAUAUUCUAGGCAAUGUGGGACUUAAAUGGAUCCAAAAUGGUGUAAUAUUAUGUUGGAACAUAUGUGAAAUAAUAAUAAUACUAGAGAAGAAAUUGCACUUGGUCUCUAUUGCAUAUUGGAAAACAAGACAAAGAAAUCGAUUUUAAGUCGGGGAGUCUUAUUUCUAUAGUAGUAAGCCUUCUCUCAAAUCGUUUUCCCGACGCUCUGCCAAUUCUUUUUUCCUUAAGACAGUUUUGCAUAUGAAUUUUUUACCAUAUCUCAAACAUUUUGAUUAUGUCCAAAAAUAUGUUGUACAUUUUUCUUCCAUAUUCACCAUUUGUUUGAUAUAGUUUGCAUACAAGCAUGCUAUUAAAUCAUUGCAGUUAUGCUGCAAACAAUUAUAUGACAGGAAAAUACGGUCAAUGCGAUGUUGAGGAUACCUCAAAAUACUUUUAUGCUGCAUUUGUAGUUCCAUAAUGCUUAUGAUAAAAUAUCACAAAUAGUAAUUGUGUAAAUAAAGCAUGAGAUACUUUUGAAAUUAAAAAACAGUAUAUUAAAAUUUCAUGUUGAAAGCAUUAUCGGAACAUACUUGGAGCAAUAUAAUCAUGGGUGCCAGCAAAAAAGCUAUUUUUAAGCAAACCUUGCAACACCAAAUUCAGCAUUUUUCUCAUAAUCUUCAUCAAGCAAGAUGUUGCUAGACUUUAGAUCCCUACGAAUAACAAACAGGUGGAGAACAAUCGUGGUGCAAAUAACAAAUCCCUUUUGCACCUCCCAAUGCAAUUUUAUACCUGUGAUUCCAAUCCCAUGCAACCUUCUCAUACUUUCUAUUUCUAUGAAGAGCUUCAAAAGGAUUACCAUUUUGCAUAUACUCAAAAACUAAAAGGUUGGUCCCUUCUUUAAAAAAACAAGCAUAGAUCAUCACCUAAAAUCUCCAUUUCUACAGCUAAAACCCUCAUACCAUCACCUUUCUCUAGUUGCUUCACAGCCACUACCAUCUCGAUAAACCUUUAUGUUACCACCAUGGCCGAUUAAAGUAUCUACAUCCAAAUGACUUAUUUCAUUAGUAUCAAUAUCCACUUGGUGGAAAGAUGCUAGUUUCCAUUUUUUACUUGCUUCCAUGGCAUUUUUGUAACUUUUUUGCUCUUCGAAUCCCGAUGCUUCUACAUUUCAAAACCACAACAAUGAAGAUAAGAACAAUUAAUGACCAAGAGCAUUACAUAUUUAUAACCAAAGCGCAUUCUUAUAUGAAAAUGAUCUUUAUCACAAAUCUUCAAAUCAGAAUCCGAUGAACUUUUUGGAAUUUUCUCAACACAUGAAUGAACCUUUGUUUCCAACAAAAACAGAAGUCUAGAUGUUGAACAUUUUGAUUCAUUCAUAUCUCAAACAUUAUGGAUCAAAAGUGUAUCAAAGUCAUAUUUAUACUCAAACAUUAUAAUGAAUGUGAUUAGUAGCCAUUAGUCAUGACUGUAGGCUAAAUGGAUUAUGAGAAAAGCUUAUAAUGCAUUAUUAAAAGUAGAGGUUGGUAGUAAUAACUUGCUUUGAGCAUGAUAUGAUAUCACUAAUCUCAAAGUACUAAAGUCAUAUAUAUUCAAUAUCAAACUCCAGAAUCAUAAGCUCAAUCUUGACAAAAUAAGUUCAUGUUUGGAUAAACAACUCAAUUAAGGGAUUCUCAUAAAAAUGCUUGUGUAUAAGCUAUUCAAUAUGACAAAAGAUAAACUAAAUUUAAAAUGUUUUCAUACAAACUAUAAGCAAUUUUUAUAAACUAUGACGGAAAGAUGUCAAAAUAAGCUGAAAAAAGAGAUAGACAUGUGAUAUGCUAGGACUGAUGAAAUAGAUAACUCAAUUAAAAGAUACCCUAAGCUUUCAAUACAAAAUAACUAACUUGAAGAUGAUAAGCUAGUACUUAUCUCCAUGGUUUUAAAAAACGGUCUGUUACCGCGGAAAUGGCGGUAACGGCAGAGACAAAACAGUAUCGAAAGAUGCUGAUAAUGAUUAUUCACUACUUUUGUGAUAAAGAAUAAAUUAUGAUUGAUUCACGCCACGAUGACCGCAAUCGGCGGAGUAACACCUAUACAUACCAAAAUCAUAAAAAUCAUUGUCGUUUUAAACCUUGCUUAUCACAAAGCUGAGAUGACGGUUGAAUCUCAAAAAGGAAGGGUUUUGAGAAAUGGGUAUUUGAGAGACAAUAAGAAAAAGGAACGGUUCUUGAAGAAAAAUGAGCAGUGAUGUUGUUAGGCUCAAAACUUUGAUUUUUGUUUUCAACUCUUUGAAUUUGUGAAAAGAUUAAAAGGAGCGAGUGGCAGCUCUCCCAAUUCCUUUUACCCGGGAAAUUUUAUAGUUCAUUUUUAUAUGUAUUUAUAUUUUUAAAUUAUUACAUCCCUCCCUUUAAUUCAAUUAUAGAAUGUGAUCUUAUGAGUUUUUAAUUAAUUCAAUUUCUAUGAUUUACUUAUAGGUUAAUUGUUUUAUGAUUUGCAUUACCUUAAUUGAAUAAAUUUGUAUUGAUAGAAUUUUAGGCAUAAAGGGUGUGACACAUUUAAGAGUGUGUUAAUUUAAUACUUUAACUCUUUUAUUUAAAUUAUGAAAGUAUUAAUAAAUUAUAAUAUUAGAAUUACCUAAUCUUAUAAGUGUCACCAUUAAAACAAUAUAUAUUAAUUAGAACUAUUUUAAAAGGAAAAGUUGUAAAUACUAGAACCAACAAAUGUUGUGAACUUGAGAUGCAGUGGUCUGUGAUCCCUACUGUCUUGUCUAAGACCUAUAAGACUCGGGCCUUAGCUCAAGUACUAUGGCUCAAAUCUUAACUUUUUGAAUGGGUAGGCCAGGAGUGUGCAGCCACCAGCCUAAACUGUCGAGUUUAAUUUGUUCCAUCACCUUGGUGGCCCCAUAUGGGUCAUAACAUGGUGCUACGACACCUACAUGUGUGAUAUUUUAGCCAAUGUGAGACUUAAUGGAUAUAAAUCUGUAUUGUAUUCAGAUGGAACAUGGUUUUUUAAAUGACUUACUUUGAACUCGACACUCCUCAAUCACUUUUGACAUGUCAUAACACUAACCAUUGAAAAGAUGUUAUUGAGGGAUCAGUUCUACAUAUAUAGAGAGGGAUUACUGGACCAAAUUAGUGAGGGAUUUAAUCUAUUCAAAAAGUUAUACACUCACAAAAAUGAUCCAAAACCAAUGACAGUAGUGAAAAAACAAUAAAUUUUUGGUUAGUUUUUAACUGGAGAUGAAAUAAAUGAAUUGAAACAGUAAUAGUUCUUAAAGUAUUGAAGAUCUCACUUGAGUGCCUGAUAGAAUAUCAACACCAUGUUUGGCAUGGUUUAACGCGUGGAUCAUUGUGAUUAAGGUUGAUCUUGCAUCACCUUCUUCAUAGACACUUGUGAGAUAGUUGUGCAGCUCAAUCAACCCCUAACAAUGGUUAAGAAUAUAAAGAGAACAAGAAUAGUUAUUUUUUGAUACUAUAUAAUUAAGAAUUGAAUAUUACUUUGUGGUCCAUUGCUGCAACUUCGUCCAUUACUCCUUUAAACCAUUCAAAAGAUCCAGGUUCUCUGGUAACCCAAUAAAAGAAAGCAUUUGUAAUCCUUUGCGAUCUCUUGUGUCUUCCUGGCGUUACAUUUGAAGAGGUGAAACUAAUGAAACUCUCAUCUGAUUUUGUUGUUUCUGUGUUUGAGUCCUGCACUUGGCCUUGUUAAAGUUUACAGGUGAUGACAAAAUGUAAUCAACAUUAUAAAAAUAACUAAACAAGAGCAAGGAGUGUACCGUUUGUUCGUCAAUUGUUCUCGUGUCACUUAGAAGAUCUCUGAGAAUACUAAUGAAGGGAGUUGCUCCAAUGCCUAAUCCUAUGAGCAGCAAUACAUCAAAAUUCUGGUAAUCUUGUGCUGGAGCUUCGUAAGGGCCAUCUACGAGCAGCUUCGGCUGUCUGUAACAAAAUUCUAGUUUGAAUGAUUUACAAUUUUGUAAGUUGAAAUUAUUAGAAAGCAUAUGAGUUGAAGUUUUAAAGUAUAGUCACGUCAUAAUAUUUAAUUUUGUGAAGAAUUAUAAUCAAAUGCGGUUGAUGCAGCCUGAAAACUUUGAUAAAAUUCUUAAAUUUCAGUUCUAUUAUAAACCCUUUUUUAAAAACUUUUACAUGAUCUAUACUUACCCUAUUUGAUCCAUUUUUAUUAGUUCUCCGAAUGUUGCGCUGGAAUUUACCGGAGCCAAUUGGUCAUCUUCGGUGAAAAGUAGCUUAAGUUCUUGUGUCCAAUCACCUACCAUUCGAAUGUGAACACUUAGCUAAUCAUCUCCAGGUGCUGAUGUAAUAGAGAAUGGGUGCCUAAAAAAUCAAGAUCUUAUUUGCAUGUGCUAGUGGACUGUAAAAUUUAGGAUGAUUAAAAAUUGACCUAAGAGAAGAACCACACUCACCACUCAAAUGGAGAGAUUUUCGGGCAUUGUAAAAAUAUGUACUGACCACUUUUGUACUUGAAUCCAUUAGGCUUUGACAUGAUUAAGCUGAAGACAUUUCCUGGUAGCACUGAAACCUGCUAAGUCAAAUUUAGAAAAAUUAAAUGGAAGUUAUUAUCAAACCAUUAAAAGCAGACAAUGGAGUGUGGUUUAUUUUUAUUACCUUCAAAACUUUUACUGCAUAGUGUUGCGAUCUACGAGUUCGUAGAGUACGUUCUGCAAUGCACAGCAACAACGGAACAGAGAUAUACAUCCAUGUCUAACAUCAAAAGUAAAAAAUAUGUUAUUGUACAUUCAUCAUCGCUCACUAUUCUUCCAUACCCACGAAGAUUGUGGUCAAAGUUCUUACUGUUUUCUGGUACCACUUAUGUGUCAAAUUCAAGAAAGAUCCAUGAAUGAACAGAAGAAUGUAAACAAUACCGAGAAGAUUGUCUAAAACUAACUAAUGUUAUAACCAACUGACUUAUCUAACACUAUAUGUAUCUAUUAAAGAAUAUACUUCCAUUAUGAAAUCUCCUAGCUGUUAUAAUUAUAGUUCUCAUAAAAUGAUGGAGGUAUACAAAAAAACACAUAUAGAGAUUGUGAUAAAUGUUCAUUCAUUAGUAAAAAGAAUGACUACUAGUGUAUGAGUAUAUAUACAAGGUUAUACAUAAUCAUAUACACAAAUGAACUCUAACACUCUCCCUCAACAUUAAGGUAUAGAAUUCUACUCAAAAGUUUAUAGUAAAUUAACGUUUACCAAUGAAGUUGUUAUCCAAUGCAUGCUAAGUUAAAAUUUUCCAUUUUGGUUUAUUAAAAAGGAUCUUCAGUUGCAAUAAAUUUUGACUGUUCUGCCAUAACAAACAGCUAUCAUUUUUAUAUAAAAAAUAGGUUUCACUUGAACUGAACUAGCAAUUCUGCAAAGAAAAAAAGGAGAAGACUUAGUAGGUAGCAUUUAAAAAACAAAUCUUUUCACACUAAGAUCUUUAUCAAGCACACUAACUAGAACACAAAACAUUAUUAGUCAUCAAAUCCAUAUUUUAUUAAACACUGUCAAUACUUGCUCUGUUAUUGUCCUUUAGCUUACUUCACUAAAUCAUGUGCUUUGAGAAUAAAGCCUAAUAAUGCAUUAAAGUCCCACAUCGCGAUAUAACAAAGAAGCAAAAAAGAUGUCAGAUAUAAAACACACAAUUAGCAUACAUUUCAACUCAUACCUUUCUCGGCCUUUUGGCUAAGAUCAAGUGUAGUAUCUGUUCUUAUCAGUUUAAUAUCUGAUAUGUGAGCCAAUGGUUCACACGAUAUUAAAUUUAUUUCUUGAGGGGGAGAGUCCACUACAAUAGCUUGCUAUUGGGUCUCUCAAGUGUUGCUUUUGCGUUGCACUAUAGCAAUAGCCCGACACACCCCACCAAAUUUAGUUCAAAUUAUAAUCUUAUUUUCUGUUUUGACAUUUUACAUUACUUCAUAAUUUACUACUGUAAAACUUGUAUAAUCAUAUUUUAUCUUUACAGCAUGUUAUCUAAGCAGUUUCAAAAUGAUUUAUCACAAAUAAAGAAUUCACUACUAUAAAAUGAUUUAUCACAAAUAAAGAAUUUAUAUCUAAGCAGUUUCCAAGCCAGCAUGAUAAUCAUAAUUGUCAAGUCUUUGUGCUCUUAAAAAAACUCAACAUCCCUUCAAAUAAACUCAUGUUUUAAUUUGAUCAUAUUGAAAAACGUUAUAAUCCAGGCACAGCUGAGCUGAAAGUGUCCACAAAACAACUCGCUAUCAGGCACAACUGAGCUGAAAGUGUCCAUAAAACAACUCGCUACCAAGCACAGCUGAGCUGAAAGUGUCCACAAAACAACUUGCUUAAAGAUCAGCUCUCACACCCACUUCAAUGCUGCUAACAUGCCUGAUGCUUGUCCGAUAUCAACUGUCAUAUAACUGGUUGCAACCGCAGAGUUUUGGCUCCCACCAACAUAACCAACUCGUUCCUACUUUGAUAUUGCAUUUAACAUGUGAAAGAUUUUCUCUCCAAAUGUUUCUAUUUAGCAGCAGUGCAUGCUUUGUGUCACCAACAUAACCAACUCGUUCCUACUUUGAUAUUGCAUUCAAAAUCACGCUUAAUAUAAUCAUUAUGAAUAUGCAUUUCUUGCAAUUAUGAAAUCGCACAAUUGACAAAGUCAACAUUUUGGACCAUCUGAUCAAGAUUUGAUGUCUCACAUCCGACCUUGUAUAAUAGACUCGAUUACGAAAUCUAAAUGUAGACCAUCUAAUCUUAAUUAAUUCAACAAUCUAGAUUGUACGACUGGCAGAUGAGGGAUUUCCUGACUACAUGGGUUCGAAUCCGCAAAUGCUUAUAAUAAAAUAACACAAAUAAUGAUUGUGUAAAUAAAAAAUGAGAUACUUUUGAAACUAAAACACAGUGUAUUGAAAUUUGUUGUUGAAAGCAUUAUCAUAACAUACCUGGAGCAAUAUAACCAUCACCUUGGUCUAGUUGCUUCACAGCCACUAUCAUGCCGUUUUUCUUCAACGCGACUUGAUAAAUCUUUCUGUUGCCACCAUGGCGGAAUAAAUUAUCUUCAUCCAAAUGACUUAUUUCCUCAACUCCCAAUAUUGAGUUGGUGAAAAGAUGUUAGUUUCCAUUUUUUAAACUUUUUUCUUUUGGAAUCCUUACCCUUCUACAGAUCAAAACCACGGCGAUGAAGAUAACAACAAUGAUCAAGAACAUUACAUAUUUAUAACCAAACAUAAGUCUUUUAUGAUCAUAAUCUUUAUCACAAAUGUUCAAAUCAGCACUUUGGAUGGAGGGAGAGCGUGUCAAAAUAAGUUGAAAACAAGAGAUAUACAUGUUAUAACACUAAUCCAAAAAUGUUGCAGCCGAUACUGCCAUCAUAGGCAAGCAAGGAUUCAAUCAAAUAGCGAUUGACUGAAAAUACAGGAAAAUAACAUUCCAAGAUGCAAAAUGCAGAUUAACAUUUCAUUAAAAAACAUGUUUCUGCCAUGUUUAUUAUCUAUGCUUAUCACCAACCCUUUAUUCCCUAUUAUAAUAAGCAAUAGAGUAAUAAAGAAAAAGAUUUACUUAAUCCAUCACAACCUUAAAGAUUUAUGUAUUUUAAAGUUGAACAGAAUUGGAAAAGGGAAAACAAUUCUAUUGAUUGAAUGAUUGAAUUUUCACAUUAUGAUGCAGUAGCAUCUAUAUAUAGGCACAGUUGGCAGUUACAACAGCUGGCAAGCUUAACCUCGCCCACCAACAAAAAGAGAUGGUUCAAGGGGCUAGGCUCACCAGGUGUUGUGGGCUGGAGGUGCAGCGGCCCGUGAUCCCUCCACUGUCAAGAGUAGGAAGUGUUCGCUGCUCUGUGAAACCAGCCUCACGCUAUACCCUCCUGUCUAAGACACACAAGACUUGUGCCUUCGCACAAGUCCCAUGGGUCAACUCACAACUUGGAGCGGGCAGGCCAACAUGGUGCAACCACCAACCCAACCUGUUAAGGUUUAGCCAUGUUCCAUCACCUUGAUGCCCCCACAUGGGUCACAAGCUGGCGCAACUCAGCUCGGCGAACUAACUAGCAUGUCAGACAUUUAUAAGCACUUGCCUGUGUGAUAUUCUAGGCAAUGUGGGACUUAAAUGGAUCCAAAAUGGUGUAGUAUUAUGUUGGAACAUAUGUGAAAUAAUAAUAAUACUAGAGAAGAAAUUGCACUUAGUCUCUAUUGCAUAUUGGAAAACAAGACAAAAAGAAAUUGAUUUUAAGUCGGGGAGUCUUAUUUCUAUAGUAGCAAGCCUUCUCUCAAAUCGUUUUCCCGACGCUCUGCCAAUUCUUUUUUCCUUAAGACAGUUUUGCAUAUGAAAUUUUUAACAUAUCUCAAACAUUUUGAUUAUGUCCAAAAAUAUGUUGUACAUUGUUCUUCCAUAUUCACCAUUUGUUUGAUAUAGUUUGCAUACAAG